UUUUUAUCUAAGCUCAAUAUCAGAUACAAUAAAAAAAAAUUACAGCCCUCCAAAGUACUCAAUGCUCUCAUGCCUCCACUCAAUAGGGAAAAAAAAAUCUUCAAUAAUAAUAAUAACUAGGCAACUAGCGAAUUUAGUACUGGGAAGGAAAGGCUUACUGGGAAGGAAAGGCUAAAUAACUGGUUCUUGAAUUUUUCUACUUUGCAGUGCCGUUGGGCAGCUUUGCAGGUUUUCCCUCAGAAGAGUU
Molecule: unclassified non-coding RNA, 247 nt
Filed under: Hevea brasiliensis (rubber tree)
Lineage: Eukaryota; Viridiplantae; Streptophyta; Magnoliopsida; Malpighiales; Euphorbiaceae
Source: RNAcentral